Molecule: non-coding RNA, 341 nt
Organism: Phascolarctos cinereus (koala)
Lineage: Eukaryota; Metazoa; Chordata; Mammalia; Diprotodontia; Phascolarctidae
Source: RefSeq, a predicted model, not a curated record
CUGCACUCUGUCAACAUCUGAAAUAUUGUGUUCAUUUCUGAGAUUCACGAUUUAAAGACACCAACAAGCUGGAGAGCGUCUGGGGGAGACAAUCAGGAUGCAUCAAGAUGGAAGCUGCAAAAACUGAGGUUGGAUGUCAGGAAGAAUUUCCUAACAAUUAGAGCUGUCUAAAAGUUGAAUGGCUGCCUUGGAUAUCAAGAAAACUGGGAGCUUUCCUUUGCUGCCCUCAUACAUUAUUAGCCAGGAGAAUGCAAAAUGGGUCUGUGGAAGGUCAGAUUUUAUCCAGAGUAGCUAUUUGCCCUCUUGAUCUGUUGUUCCCAGUAACCUUAAGUAUGGAAUAA